RNAcentral lists this long non-coding RNA (584 nucleotides) under Marmota monax (woodchuck). Lineage: Eukaryota; Metazoa; Chordata; Mammalia; Rodentia; Sciuridae. The record is from RNAcentral.
UGGGGUGUAAGGUUGGGGGUCCGUCUCAGUGUAGAAAUGGAGUCUCACAACUUUUGAAGUCUCAAGGCUUCACUUGGCCCUUUGUCUUCUUAGCAGCCUAAUCCUUAGCAUUGGGGAAAGGAGGCUUCACUGAAUCUUCUGCUUUGGAAAAAGAAUCCUGCAAGAUUUAGAACUUUGGUAGGGCCCAAAGGCCUGGGCACAUAAUAAUGAUUCUUAAAGGGUGUCAUCUGCAUUUACCAAUCAGUUUAAAGAGCCCUAAAAGGGAAAUAGGCUGAAGAGGAAGGAACUAUAUAUAUAUCAGUUCAUUAUAUUCACCAGGGUGUUAACAUUCAAAACAACCCUAGAGGGGCAAUGUUAUUAAACCCUAAUAUGUAGGUGAAGACACAGACUAAGAGCAGCUAUGUGACAUACCCAAGACACACAGUUAGAAAUGGGGGAAAUUGGGGUUCUAGUCAAAUGUGUCUGAUCCCUACACCUGUUCCCAGUUCUGAUGGCCUGAAGCUUUUUUGGCCACAGUAAAGUCACACACACAAAAAAUUGAGUUGGUGAGGAUGUCGAGGAAAAGAGACAGUCAUACAUUCCUG